RNAcentral lists this ribosomal RNA (500 nucleotides) under uncultured bacterium. RNAcentral's name for it is "partial 16S ribosomal RNA". It matches the Rfam family "Bacterial small subunit ribosomal RNA", at positions 29 to 523 of the family's 1533-position model. The record is from RNAcentral.
AUUGAACGCUGGCGGCAUGCCUUACACAUGCAAGUCGAACGGCAGCACGGGAGCAAUCCUGGUGGCGAGUGGCGAACGGGUGAGUAAGGUAUCGGAACGUGCCCAGUCGUGGGGGAUAACGUAGCGAAAGUUACGCUAAUACCGCAUACGAUCUAUGGAUGGAAGCGGGGGAUCGCAAGACCUCGCGCGAUUGGAGCGGCCGAUAUCAGAUUAGGUAGUUGGUGGGGUAAAGGCCCACCAAGCCGACGAUCUGUAGCUGGUCUGAGAGGACGACCAGCCACACUGGGACUGAGACACGGCCCAGACUCCUACGGGAGGCAGCAGUGGGGAAUUUUGGACAAUGGGCGAAAGCCUGAUCCAGCCGUGCCGCGUGCAGGAUGAAGGCCUUCGGGUUGUAAACUGCUUUUGUACGGAACGAAAAGGACUGCCCUAAUACGGUGGUCCCAUGACGGUACCGUAAGAAUAAGCACCGGCUAACUACGUGCCAGCAGCCGCGGUAA